RNAcentral lists this ribosomal RNA (799 nucleotides) under uncultured bacterium. Its description in RNAcentral is "bacterial SSU rRNA". It matches the Rfam family "Bacterial small subunit ribosomal RNA", at positions 91 to 876 of the family's 1533-position model. The record is from RNAcentral.
UUUAGUGGCGAACGGGUGCGUAACACGUGGGCAAUCUGCCGAGAAGUGGGGGAUAGCUCGCCGAAAGGCGAAUUAAUACCGCAUAUGAUCAGGGACGACAUCGUUCCAACAUCAAAGCCGGGGCAACCUGGCGCUUCUUGAUGAGCCCGCGGCCUAUCAGCUAGUUGGUGAGGUAACGGCCCACCAAGGCUAUGACGGGUAGCUGGUCUGAGAGGACGACCAGUCACACUGGAACUGAGACACGGUCCAGACACCUACGGGUGGCAGCAGUCGAGAAUUUUUCUCAAUGGGGGCAACCCUGAAGGAGCGACGCCGCGUGGAGGAUGAAGGCUUUCGGGUUGUAAACUCCUGUCAUUUGAGAACAAGUGGCCGAACUUAACUACUUCGGCCUUGAUAGUAUCAGAAGAGGAAGGGACGGCUAACUCUGUGCCAGCAGCCGCGGUAAUACAGAGGUCCCAAGCGUUGUUCGGAUUCAUUGGGCGUAAAGGGUGCGUAGGUGGCGUGGUAAGUCGGGUGUGAAAUUUCGGAGCUUAACUCCGAAACUGCAUUCGAUACUGCCGUGCUUGAGGACUGGAGAGGAGACUGGAAUUUACGGUGUAGCAGUGAAAUGCGUAGAGAUCGUAAGGAAGACCAGUGGCGAAGGCGGGUCUCUGGACAGUUCCUGACACUGAGGCACGAAGGCCAGGGGAGCAAACGGGAUUAGAUACCCCGGUAGUCCUGGCAGUAAACGGUGCACGUUUGGUGUGGGAGGAUUCGACCCCUUCCGCGCCGGAGCUAACGCGUUAAACGUGCCGCCUGG